Spodoptera litura is the source of this 391-nucleotide long non-coding RNA. RefSeq lists it as uncharacterized. The record is from RefSeq and is a predicted model, not a curated record. NCBI's taxonomy places the organism in Eukaryota, Metazoa, Arthropoda, Insecta, Lepidoptera, Noctuidae.
AGCAACGCUACCAAUAAAUCAGUGCAAUUUGUAGUCAACAUGUAUGCUUAAAGAACAAUUCUAAUCAUUCAAGAUUUCAAAAACUAAAUGUAUAUUUGCUGACUAAAUGUCUUACUAAAAGCACUGAAAAAUGAUGACAACAAAGUAAUGCUACCAAUAAAUCAGUGCUUGCAAUUUUCAGUCAACAUGUAUGCUUAAAUAACAAUACUAAUCUGUACGUCAGGACGUCAAAGAUUAAAUGAAAAAGGUGGCUCAAUAUAUGACUGAAAGCACUGAACAAUUAUGAUACCAGACCUAACAGCAACGCUACCAAUAAACCAGUGCAAUGUGCAGUCAACAUGUAUGUUGAAUUAACAAUAUUGACCGGUUCUAUUUAGAAUUUCGUGUUCUA